Molecule: ribosomal RNA, 359 nt
Filed under: Pseudotetracha pulchra
Lineage: Eukaryota; Metazoa; Arthropoda; Insecta; Coleoptera; Carabidae
Description: partial 16S ribosomal RNA
Source: RNAcentral
AAAGGUAGCGUAAUCAUUAGCUUUUUAAUUGAAAGCUUGUAUGAAUGGUUGGACGAGGUAAUAACUGUCUUUGUUUAAUGUAAAGUGGAACUUAACUUUUGAGUCAAAAGGCUCAAAUUUAAUUAAUAGACGAGAAGACCCUAUAGAUCUUUAUUUAUAAGGUUAUAUAUUAAAUUUGGAUAAAUUUAUGGUUUAUGGCUUUAUAAAUUUUAUUGGGGUAAUAUAGAGAUUUAAUAAAUUCUUUGAAUAAUUUCAACAAUGAUGAUUGAUAAAUUGAUCCAUUAGUAUUGAUUAUAAGAUUAAGUUACCUUAGGGAUAACAGCGUAAUUUUUUUAAAGAGUUCAUAUCGAUAAAAAAGU